Vidua macroura (Pin-tailed whydah) is the source of this 115-nucleotide long non-coding RNA. RefSeq lists it as uncharacterized. Lineage: Eukaryota; Metazoa; Chordata; Aves; Passeriformes; Viduidae. The record is from RefSeq and is a predicted model, not a curated record. The transcript has 3 exons.
GUGCAGGUGUGCUAUGGACAGGUGUGUGCAGGUGUGCAUGGACAGGUGUGCACAGGUGUGCACAGGUGUGAUGUGGACAGGUGAGGCAUGGGCAGGUGUGCACAGGUGAGGACAG